UGGGGAAUAUUGCACAAUGGGCGCAAGCCUGAUGCAGCCAUGCCGCGUGUGUGAAGAAGGCCUUCGGGUUGUAAAGUACUUUCAGCGGGGCGGAAGGGAGUAAAGUUAAUACUUUGGCCCUUUGACGUUACCCGCAGAAGAAGCACCGGCUAACCCCGUGCCAGCAGCCGCGGUAAUACGGAGGGUGCAAGCGUUAAUCGGAAUUACUGGGCGUAAAGUGCACGCAGGCGGUUUGUUAAGUCAGAUGUGAAAUCCCCGGGCUCAACCUGGGAACUGCAUCUGAUACUGGCAAGCUUGAGUCUCGUAGAGGGGGGUAGAAUUCCAGGUGUAGCGGUGAAAUGCGUAGAGAUCUGGAGGAAUACCGGUGGCGAAGGCGGCCCCCUGGACGAAGACUGACGCUCAGGUGCGAAAGCGUGGGGAGCAAACAGG
This 429-nucleotide ribosomal RNA is filed under the name Chloroflexota bacterium. RNAcentral describes it as "Chloroflexi bacterium partial 16S ribosomal RNA". It matches the Rfam family "Bacterial small subunit ribosomal RNA", at positions 355 to 776 of the family's 1533-position model. Lineage: Bacteria; Bacillati; Chloroflexota. The record is from RNAcentral.